RNAcentral lists this long non-coding RNA (564 nucleotides) under Pan troglodytes (chimpanzee). RNAcentral describes it as "lincRNA". RNAcentral also lists the same sequence under 1 other name. The record is from RNAcentral. Lineage: Eukaryota; Metazoa; Chordata; Mammalia; Primates; Hominidae.
UGUGAGUGUGAGAGCGAGAACAGCCCCGCAGGUCCCGAGGCGCUGGCUGGGGACAAUGCCGCGGAAAGUUCCCAGUCCCCAGCCGCAGAUCUGCAGAAUUGAAAUGAAAUGUUUUGAGCUCUUCAAGCUGACUCGUCAGAAUCCUGGAGCCUUUUAAAAAAUGACGAAUUGGAAGGAAAAAUUACUUUAUCAAUAACCAGGCUCCACCAGGAUUGACCUAGAUGGUUGUUCCUGGCACUUGUCAUUCUCAGCAAGCACAGCUCAGAGAACAAAUACAAAAGACCCAAAGUGCAUUGCAUCUUUUAUGGAAGUGCCCAAUGUGGAAAUCAUAGAUUUCAAGGAAGGAACAAGAAAAUUGAUGAAACAAGUUCAAAAGAAAGGUACCUGUGCCUCAUCAUUCCUAAAGAACACUGAUCAAUGAUCCCAGAAGUAUGCCAUGUUCUCUUAAUUCAUCAGAGACUGAAAGCAAAGGAAAAUCAAGAAAUAAGCUUGGCCAAUUUGAUGUCAAUGGAAAUGCGUGAGAUUUUUAUUCAGCAUUCACACCUGAGCAAUGCUUUUGGUAUG